This 472-nucleotide ribosomal RNA is filed under the name uncultured bacterium. RNAcentral describes it as "partial 16S ribosomal RNA". It matches the Rfam family "Bacterial small subunit ribosomal RNA", at positions 28 to 507 of the family's 1533-position model. The record is from RNAcentral.
GACGAACGCUGGCGGCGUGCUUAACACAUGCAAGUCGAACGCUGAAACUUGUUCCUUGCCCUGGUUGGAUGUGUGGCGCACGUGUGUGUAAUAUGUGAGUAACCUGCCCUUGACUCUGUAAUCAGCCUGGGAAACUGUUUCUACUACUUGCUACCACAUGUCACCGCAUGGUGGUGUUUGGAACUGGUUUUAUUGGUUUUGCUUGUGCUCACGUCCUAUGUGCUUGUUGGUGGGGUAAUGGCUCACCAAGGCGACGACGGAUAGCCGGCAUGCGAGGGGGAACGGCGACACUGGGACUGAGAGACGGAGCAGAGUGAAACGGGAGGCAGCAGGGGGGAAUAUUGCACAAUGGGCGGAAGCCUGAGGAAGAGACGUAGGGGGAGGGAAGAAGGCCUGCGGGUAGAAAACCUCUUUCAGCACGGAAGAAGGGAAAGUGACGGUACGUGAAGAAGAAGCACCGGCUAACUACGUG